ACCUCCUCCUGGCCGCUGGACGUCUCUCCUUCCUAGCCUUCGCCUGUCCCUCCUCCCCUGCCCGCUACCCCCACAGACAGGCACGUUGCUACCUCCUCCAUGCCCUAGGAGAAGCCGCAGGGCCCGCCACCCCUCACCAUGUUCGGCGUUGACGACCAGGAGGUGGAGCCAUGAAUGAUAUAUCCUAGGUACACCUCCAGCUUCCCUUACCAUCUCCUUGGCCUCUUCCUCCCCCCCAUUGGCCUUCUCCUUCUGAUGAAUCAUUUUACCUAGAUUUGUCACUGCUUGCUAAUCGUUGCUCCAACCGUUGAGUUUGCGCGGUGGAUUUCUUUUCCUAGCAUCAACACAUGUAAAACAGGGGAGAUUUAGAUCCAACACAUCAGCGAAGUGGCACCCUUGCUGGCAAAAUAAUACGUCUAGGUCUCGUAGAACACCUAACACUGGUAAGUACUCCUAAUAUGCAAGUGGUUAUGCUGAUGUUGAUGAAUCGAUUGGUAUUUUGAGACUUGUAUUAUGUCUCCUUUGAGGAGGUUUUAUUUCACCAGGUACACUACAUUAUUUGAUCAUCGUAUUAUGGUUAUUUGAUCACUGUAUUUUAUUAUUUUAUCGCUGUAUUAUCUGGACAAAUUACGAAUAUGCCUACUACUGUAUCAUAAUUACUUGUUGCCUACUCUAUCGACCUUUGCAAAGAUUGCUACUGUUUUGUUGUCUAAACCACUUGCUAUCAAUAUUUCUUAAAGUGUUGUGUAUCUAAUCGUCCUCUAAUAAGCACAUCAGUUAAGUUCAAGUUAACACAAUUACACUCCCAUACAUGUAUACAAUGAUGAUGACCUAUUGUACAUUCUGAUUGCUUGGGUAUUCAUUCUCUGGUGCUCAUAGUCUAAUGGAUGGUAUGAUCACCGCUUAGUAUGUUCUGUUCUGUUUUUGAACUGAAUUAUCUCAACCUUUUAUCUAUGAUUGUGUAGUGGUCUAGGGAUUGCGUAUUAGGAUAUUGAGGAUGGGAUUUUCACAAAUUGCUACAGUCCAAUUAUUUUCUUCCCUUCUACCCUGCUACACGCCAGAUCAUAUGUUAUAAUGGCGUUUGCUGCUGGAGGCACAUCCCGAUUCGUCAAUAGGGCCGAGUGCAUCUGCCUCAUUCACAAGAUAAACGACGCUCCUACCCCCUCCUCUGUUUUCUACCUGCUUGAACAUAUCAGCAAUCUUGCUUGUAUAACUUGUGGAUGGUAGGCCUGGAGUGCUGUCGAAUUCCUUCCUUAGCGCAACUGUUGUUCAGACCGAUUAUAUAUCCAGGUAUGGACUUGAAGUUUAAUGCCACACCUGCUCCAGGAGAGCAGACAACCUUCAAGUGGGACAUUGAUCAUGGGUGUAAAAUGUUAAGCUGAAUGCAAACCGUCGAGAUGGUCCUGGUCGAGGACCUCCAUGGCACCUACGUUGGUGUGGGUUGUGCCGCCUCAUCGCGACCGUCAUCGAUUGGGCCUUCGAGGUUCUUUGUUGUUGGCAUUUUGGUCGUAAUGCAGAUGACUUGGUAAACCGACAUUUUCAAAGUCAAACCCGAGAACCUGGUAUGUGGUAGAAGAUAUAAUGUCGUUAUUUUUCAUGCAUGUUUGAGGACAUGCUUCCACUGUCAUAAAGCAUUAUGGGUAGACUUGGGGACUGUUUAAUUUAAUCCACUACCUAGGUCAUAUAAAAUUAACUCUUUUACUAUUAUGGUAUGUUGCUGUGUAGGUAAUAUCGUUGUGCAGUUUAGUCAUGGUGAAAAUGAAAGAAAACACCUACAUCUCAUUUUUGACAUAGUGGAGCUAUAUGUUGGUUUUAAUGCAUAUACACAACCUUUUGAUAGAAUGCUCUGGUUUCUGAGGUUGAGAAGAUAGGCGCUGUUGUUAUCUUUGUCGUCCACACAUACAAUUUACUUUAGCUUAAUCAAUGUUGUGGUUUUUUAAUGUUAUAUCUGUGACGUCCAUGC
This is a long non-coding RNA of Zea mays, 1963 nucleotides long. RefSeq lists it as uncharacterized. The transcript is spliced from 6 exons. Lineage: Eukaryota; Viridiplantae; Streptophyta; Magnoliopsida; Poales; Poaceae. The record is from RefSeq and is a predicted model, not a curated record.